UGGGGAAUUUUGGACAAUGGGCGAAAGCCUGAUCCAGCAAUGCCGCGUGUGUGAAGAAGGCCUUCGGGUUGUAAAGCACUUUUGUCCGGAAAGAAAUUCUUGGCUCUAAUACAGUCGGGGGAUGACGGUACCGGAAGAAUAAGCACCGGCUAACUACGUGCCAGCAGCCGCGGUAAUACGUAGGGUGCAAGCGUUAAUCGGAAUUACUGGGCGUAAAGCGUGCGCAGGCGGUUUGCUAAGACCGAUGUGAAAUCCCCGGGCUCAACCUGGGAACUGCAUUGGUGACUGGCAGGCUAGAGUAUGGCAGAGGGGGGUAGAAUUCCACGUGUAGCAGUGAAAUGCGUAGAGAUGUGGAGGAAUACCGAUGGCGAAGGCAGCCCCCUGGGCCAAUACUGACGCUCAUGCACGAAAGCGUGGGGAGCAAACAGGAUUAGAUACCCUGGUAGUCCACGCCCUAAACGAUGUCAACUAGUUGUUGGGGAUUCAUUUCCUUAGUAACGUAGCUAACGCGUGAAGUUGACCGCCUGGGGAGUACGGUCG
This 540-nucleotide ribosomal RNA is filed under the name uncultured bacterium. RNAcentral's name for it is "partial 16S ribosomal RNA". It matches the Rfam family "Bacterial small subunit ribosomal RNA", at positions 355 to 888 of the family's 1533-position model. The record is from RNAcentral.